Molecule: long non-coding RNA, 2715 nt
Organism: Anolis carolinensis (green anole)
Lineage: Eukaryota; Metazoa; Chordata; Lepidosauria; Squamata; Anolidae
Source: Ensembl
AUGAGUGGAUGGGUAGAUAGAGUGGGUGCUCUCCUUGUUUCCUUUAUUCCUAUGCUGUUUCCUUUCUCUGCUCCGAUCCUAAGCUCGCUGAUAAGAACAUACUGGCCUUCUGGAAGGGAAGGCUUUUGCAUUGUGUUGCCAAGUUUCAUAUUUCUGGGGCAUUUAGUUGUGUUGUUAUAGUUACGAUGCGUUGUUGUGAGUUUUGUGGGUCCGGAUUGUGGUUUUGUGGUGUGGUUGUGUUGCUACAACCAGGAGGCAAGGCUUUUGCAUUGUGUUGCCAAGUUUUGUAUUUCUGGGGUGUUUAGUUGUGUUGUUAUAGUCAUGAUGCAUUGUUGUGAGUUUUGUGGGUCCAGAUUGUGGUUUUGUGGUGUGGUUGUGUUGCUACAACCAGGAGGCAAGGCUUUUGCAUUGUGUUGCCAAGUUUCUUAUUUCUGGGACGUUUAGCUUUGUUGUUAUAGUCACUGUGCAAACAACUUUAUCCUUUUAUAUAUAUAGAUUGUAAGGUAACAAGGAAAUUACAGAAGACUCAUCUGCACUAUACAGUAAUUUGCUAGCACUAACAGAAAAGUUAAUCUUGGAAUUCAUGGUCUGGUGAUGGCCAUAACAUUCUCUAUCUCCUCUCCUGUUUCCCUGAGCUAAAGCUUUUUGGUAGAGAAUCAGAAGAGAUCUGACAUCUGACAAAAACUGAAAAAAGGGGAAAUCACCCCUGAUUUUAGCACUCUUGUCUUAUCAGAUUGCAAGUCAUUUGUUUGCUUUCCUUAAGGACAUGUUUGGAUAUUUGGCUAUUAUCAAAACAUUUUUUCUAAAUUUGCAGUGAGCACCACGAUGGAGACAUUUUUCUUUAACUGUGACCUUAACCUUGAGGACAGAUUAUUUCUGUGUAUCAUGUGGUAGACAGGGGAAGAGAACAGCAUAGGAUAUUUUCCUUUUGUCAACUUCAUCAAGCUAGUUUCAAUUAUCAAAGCAGAUGUGUUAUUGAUGUGUUCAACAUAAAAUUUGAUACCAUAGGCAGAAAUAAUAUAGAAAGAGUAAGAACAGGUUUAUAUGAAACAAAAAUACAAGAGCAAUUUAUUUCCCAACGUGUUUGUAUUUAUCUUUUUAAAAGUCUCUGGUGCUGUUUUGCUGUUUUGCAAAGUUGAAGAGUCAAUUUUGUUGGGAACUUCUCACAAGCCUCAAAAAUGAGAAUUAAAAAGAGAUCGAAGUAAGGAAACCUGCAAGGAAUGAUCUUCAAGCAAUGUUCAAGGGGAGACUGGAGAUGGGGAAAAACAGAAAAGGUAAGAAAAGGAAUUAAUGAAAAAGGUGGUCAAGAGAGAAUUUCACUUUGAUCUGAUGCAUUCUAGUUUUAAACUAAUGAUUCUUUGCCACUUGGAAACAGAAAGUGCCAGAUGUUGCUGUUUUUUUUAAUAACCUCCACUGCACUGAUUGAAGUCUUAAAACAAAUACUUCAUCAUCUUGCAUUAGCACUAAUUUCAGUGUUAUCCCAAGUGAUUCACACUUAAAGUGGUGGGAGACAAGAUGUCACGUCUUCAAGGUUUCUUUCUCCCUGUACCUGCCUGGUCUCAUUUUAUGCUUCUUCAAACAACUGCCAGGAUCUAACUGAAUUAGAGAAGACUAAUAUUAUUUGUUGUGCUGUUUUGUUUUGAAUAAAAGUCAACAGCACUGUAAAACAGCAGGACAAAAUCUAAUCAAAUACCUAAUGUAAUAAUACCUGUAGCACCCAACUACAACUAAGUAAAAGAUCGAUACCUUUAACAUCCAAAUCCAGUGGUAUAGCUUAGAAACUCCUUCAGGACAGAGUGAUAUUAUGCAUUUGUAGUGCUUAUAAAACUGCCCCUCACUUAUUUGUAAAGACAUAAAAAUAAGCUCCUUGGUCUUCUCUUGAAAGAUUCAACUUCUAGCAUUUUUCGGGUAGCAAUAAUUCCUACUCUAAAGUUGCAUAUUAAUUAACAAUUAUCUUUUUUGGUGUUCAGUAAACCAGGUUGCCUUCAAUCCUUUUAGCCAAGAACUGUAGCUGGAACAAAACUUUGUGAAGCUUCCUAUGUACAGUAUAGACAACAGACCUGAAUAACAAGUAGGAAUUUCAUUUAUAAUCCAGCCUCCCCCCCCCCCCAAAAAAAAAAUUGGGAACACAUUUUGGCUCAAAAGCACUGCAAAAAUGGACUCAUUCAGAAUCAGUUAUCAACUUUCAUGAAAGCUUCUGGUUGAUUUCUACAUAAUAGAAGUUGGCUUGCUUCUUCUAAUAGCAGUAAUAAUGUAGAUUGCCAACCACUGGAAGAUUGACUUCAGAUGCACAGUGGAAAUAUGGUUUAUGAGAAUCUGGGAAAUAUCAUUCACAAAAAAUUUAACACAUCACAGUAGCCUAACUACACUUAUAAUGAAAUAAGAUUCUCUAUUGAGACAUGUUUCAUUCCCUUUCAUAUUUUAACAUGUCUGUUAGGCACUUCAGAUCACUUUCUGAAAAUAUGUUCCUGAAGUCUAUAGCCAUCAUUCUGUGUUGUACAUUUUCCUCCUACUUAAUAUCUAGUCUUUCUCCAGGGCUGUAAACCAAACACUUUUAAUAGGUUUAUCUGGCAUGUGUCUGCAAACUGAAUGUUCAUGUAAACUACUUGCACAAGUCAGACAUAGUCUUUACUAAAACUGAAAAUGUCUUUUUGUUGCAGCCCUCUGUAACUUUAUAGCUGCUUGACUUGCAAUAAUUUAAAAUCUGAAAUAUUU